ACAUCCAGAGAACUUGGCAGAGAUGCCUUGGUGCCUUCGGGACCUCUGAGACAGGUGCUGCAUGGCUGUCGUCAGCUCGUGUUGUGAAAUGUCGGGGUUAAGUCCCGCAACGAGCGCAACCCCUAUCCUUUGUUGCCAGCGAUUCGGUCGGGAACUCAAAGGAGACUGCCGGUGAUAAACCGGAGGAAGGUGGGGAUGACGUCAAGUCAUCAUGGCCCUUACGAGUAGGGCUACACACGUGCUACAAUGGCGCAUACAAAGAGAAGCGACCUCGCGAGAGCAAGCGGACCUCAUAAAGUGCGUCGUAGUCCGGAUCGGAGUCUGCAACUCGACUCCGUGAAGUCGGAAUCGCUAGUAAUCGUAGAUCAGAAUGCUACGGUGAAUACGUUCCCGGGCCUUGUACACACCGCCCGUCACACCAUGGGAGUGGGUUGCAAAAGAAGUAGAUAGCUUAACCUUCGGGAGGGCGUUUACCACUUUGUGAUUCAUGACUGGGGUGAAGUCGUAACAAGGUAAGCGUAGCGAG
Molecule: ribosomal RNA, 526 nt
Filed under: uncultured bacterium
Lineage: Bacteria
Description: bacterial SSU rRNA
Rfam family: Bacterial small subunit ribosomal RNA
Source: RNAcentral